AAGGACUUCAAGUCAUCUGCGAAGAUAAACGGCUGAACGCCAAACUUUACAGCAACAGGGCAGCAGCUCAUUUCCAUUUGGGAAACUACCAAGAGUGUCUCGAUGAUGCAGCAGUUGCUGUUCAAUUGGAACCCACUUUAAUUAAAGCCAUCAAAAAAGGAGCCAGUGCAUGUGUCGAGCUUUCCUUGUAUAAAGAAGCAAGAAGCUGG
This is a long non-coding RNA of Stylophora pistillata, 209 nucleotides long. The record is from RefSeq and is a predicted model, not a curated record. NCBI's taxonomy places the organism in Eukaryota, Metazoa, Cnidaria, Anthozoa, Scleractinia, Pocilloporidae.